GGGGGCGUCACGGAAUAGAUUGACGUUCUAUAAUAUAGCGGCAGGUCGAAGAUGUGUCAGGCUUCGCAAAAAGGCACAAAAGCUACAAAUGGCGAAAGUUAUAAUAGCAAUCCAGAGCUCCUUCCUUUCGAGGAAGAGCUCGCAAUGGCAGCUUAGAAGCUGUCUCCCUUGUCCUCUUGACGCAGAUAGAGUGAGGCAGGGGCCAUCAUCUGCAAACCAGAAAAGUUUUAUUGUCUUAUAAGCUGGCCAAAUAAUUUAAGGCAAACGUUCAAUGUUUAUAUUAAUAACGUAAAAGGAAAUAAACUAAACCUGUAGAAACUAUAUUAAAAAAACGGACAAGACGCGGGUUCGACUCCCGCCGCCUCCACCA
RNAcentral lists this transfer-messenger RNA (370 nucleotides) under Patescibacteria group. RNAcentral's name for it is "GCA-2686465 sp002686465 Standard tmRNA". It matches the Rfam family "transfer-messenger RNA". From Rfam's summary of the family: Bacterial tmRNA, also known as 10Sa RNA or SsrA, is named for its dual tRNA and mRNA-like properties. Its role is to liberate the mRNA from a stalled ribosome. The record is from RNAcentral. RNAcentral also lists the same sequence under 1 other name.